UACGUAGGGGGCAAGCGUUGUCCGGAUUUAUUGGGCGUAAAGAGCGUGUAGGCGGCCAAGCAGGUCCGCUGUGAAAACUCGAGGCUCAACCUCGAGACGCCGGUGGAAACCAUCAGGCUAGAGUCCGGAAGAGGAGAGUGGAAUUCCUGGUGUAGCGGUGAAAUGCGCAGAUAUCAGGAAGAACACCCGUGGCUAAGGCGGCUCUCUAGUACGGUACUGACGCUGAGACGCGAAAGCGUGGGGAGCGAACAGG
RNAcentral lists this ribosomal RNA (253 nucleotides) under uncultured bacterium. RNAcentral describes it as "partial 16S ribosomal RNA". It matches the Rfam family "Bacterial small subunit ribosomal RNA", at positions 524 to 776 of the family's 1533-position model. The record is from RNAcentral.